GUGUCAGCAGCCGCGGUAAUACGUAGGUGGCAAGUGUUGUCCGGAAUUAUUGGGCGUAAAGGGCUCGCGGGCGGUUUCUUAAGUCUGAUGUGAAAGCCCCCGGCUCAACCGGGGAGGGUCAUUGGAAACUGGGGAACUUGAGUGCAGAAGAGGAGAGUGGAAUUCCACGUGUAGCGGUGAAAUGCGUAGAGAUGUGGAGGAACACCAGUGGCGAAGGCGACUCUCUGGUCUGUAACUGACGCUGAGGAGCGAAAGCGUGGGGAGCGAACAGGAUUAGAUACCCUGGUAGUCCACGCCGUAAACGAUGAGUGCUAAGUGUUAGGGGGUUUCCGCCCCUUAGUGCUGCAGCUAACGCAUUAAGCACUCCGCCUGGGGAGUACGGUCGCAAGACUGAAACUUAAAGGAAUUGACGG
This 413-nucleotide ribosomal RNA is filed under the name uncultured bacterium. RNAcentral describes it as "bacterial SSU rRNA". It matches the Rfam family "Bacterial small subunit ribosomal RNA", at positions 505 to 916 of the family's 1533-position model. The record is from RNAcentral.